Molecule: ribosomal RNA, 431 nt
Filed under: uncultured Bacteroidales bacterium
Lineage: Bacteria; Pseudomonadati; Bacteroidota; Bacteroidia; Bacteroidales
Description: bacterial SSU rRNA
Rfam family: Bacterial small subunit ribosomal RNA
Source: RNAcentral
CGGAGGAACAUGUGGUUUAAUUCGAUGAUACGCGAGGAACCUUACCCGGGCUUGAACUGCAGAUGACUAUUCCGGAAACGGGAUUUCCCUUCGGGGCAUCUGUGGAGGUGCUGCAUGGUUGUCGUCAGCUCGUGCCGUGAGGUGUCGGCUUAAGUGCCAUAACGAGCGCAACCGUUGCCGCCAGUUACUAACAGGUAACGCUGAGGACUCUAGUGGGACUGCCAUCGUAAGAUGUGAGGAAGGUGGGGAUGACGUCAAAUCAGCACGGCCCUUACGUCCGGGGCUACACACGUGUUACAAUGGGGGGUACAGAGGGCUGCUACCCGGCGACGGGAUGCCAAUCCCCAAAACCUCUCUCAGUUCGGAUUGGAGUCUGCAACCCGACUCCAUGAAGCUGGAUUCGCUAGUAAUCGCGCAUCAGCCACGGCGCG